GAUGAACGCUGGCGGCGUGCCUAAUACAUGCAAGUCGAGCGAACAGACGAGGAGCUUGCUCCUCUGACGUUAGCGGCGGACGGGUGAGUAACACGUGGAUAACCUACCUAUAAGACUGGGAUAACUUCGGGAAACCGGAGCUAAUACCGGAUAACAUGUUGAACCGCAUGGUUCAACAGUGAAAGACGGUGUUGCUGUCACUACUAGAUGGAUCCGCGCCGCAUUAGCUAGUUGGUAAGGUAACGGCUUACCAAGGCAACGAUGCGUAGCCGACCUGAGAGGGUGAUCGGCCACACUGGAACGGAGACACGGUCCAGACUCCUACGGGAGGCAGCAGUAGGGAAUCUUACGCAAAGGGCGAAAGCCUGACGGAGCAACGCCGCGUGAGUGAAGAAGGUCUUCGGAUCGUAAAACUCUGUUAUUAGGGAAGAACAAAUGUGUAAGUAACUAUGCACGUCUUGACGGUACCUAAUCAGAAAGCCACGGCUAACUACGUG
This 497-nucleotide ribosomal RNA is filed under the name uncultured bacterium. RNAcentral's name for it is "partial 16S ribosomal RNA". It matches the Rfam family "Bacterial small subunit ribosomal RNA", at positions 28 to 507 of the family's 1533-position model. The record is from RNAcentral.